RNAcentral lists this ribosomal RNA (402 nucleotides) under uncultured bacterium. RNAcentral describes it as "bacterial SSU rRNA". It matches the Rfam family "Bacterial small subunit ribosomal RNA", at positions 355 to 774 of the family's 1533-position model. The record is from RNAcentral.
UGGGGAAUAUUGCACAAUGGGCGAAAGCCUGAUGCAGCAACGCCGCGUGAGUGAUGAAGGCCUUCGGGCUGUAAAGCUCUGUCUUCUGGGACGAUAAUGACGGUACCAGAGGAGGAAGCCACGGCUAACUACGUGCCAGCAGCCGCGGUAAUACGUAGGUGGCAAGCGUUGUCCGGAUUUACUGGGCGUAAAGGAUGCGUAGGCGGAUACUUAAGUCAGAUGUGAAAAUCCCGGGCUUAACUUGGGAACUGCAUUUGAAACUGGGUCUCUAGAGUGCGGGAGAGGAAAGUGGAAUUCCUAGUGUAGCGGUGAAAUGCGUAGAGAUUAGGAAGAACACCAGUGGCGAAGGCGACUUUCUGGACCGUAACUGACGCUGAGGCAUGAAAGCGUGGGGAGCAAACA